AUGACCAUUGUAAUCAACAAAUCAAUGUUUAGCAAUUUUCUUGUUCACUGGAGAUUACCGAACUUCCUUGCUUGUUGGUUGUUCGAAGUAACCCAGAAAGAUUUCUUGCUUGUCGAUGUGCUUCAGUUACUCCUGAUCUGCUUGGAUUCAGUACUUCAGUUACUCAUGAUCUUCCAACAAAAAAUCGAAAAGUUGCUCAUGAUCUUCCAGGGCCAAACGCUGUCAAAACAAAGCAGCCUUUUCCAGUUGUUUGCACUGAAUCUGAAUUCUGAAACAGCUGGGAUUCGAACGCUUGUUUCAGUACUCAUGGCUAUUUAUUUAUUUUUGCAAAAGAAAAUAAAUACUAGUGGGUGUUUCUGA
RNAcentral lists this ribosomal RNA (360 nucleotides) under Triticum aestivum (bread wheat). RNAcentral describes it as "partial small subunit ribosomal RNA". Lineage: Eukaryota; Viridiplantae; Streptophyta; Magnoliopsida; Poales; Poaceae. The record is from RNAcentral.